GGCCCGCGGCGCAUUAGCUAGUUGGUGAGGUAACGGCUCACCAAGGCAACGAUGCGUAGCCGACCUGAGAGGGUGAUCGGCCACACUGGGACUGAGACACGGCCCAGACUCCUACGGGAGGCAGCAGUAGGGAAUCUUCCGCAAUGGACGAAAGUCUGACGGAGCAACGCCGCGUGAGCGAUGAAGGCCUUCGGGUCGUAAAGCUCUGUUGUUAGGGAAGAACAAGUAUCGGAGUAACUGCCGGUACCUUGACGGUACCUAACCAGAAAGCCACGGCUAACUACGUGCCAGCAGCCGCGGUAAUACGUAGGUGGCAAGCGUUGUCCGGAAUUAUUGGGCGUAAAGCGCGCGCAGGUGGUUCCUUAAGUCUGAUGUGAAAGCCCACGGCUCAACCGUGGAG
RNAcentral lists this ribosomal RNA (400 nucleotides) under Mesobacillus persicus. Its description in RNAcentral is "bacterial SSU rRNA". It matches the Rfam family "Bacterial small subunit ribosomal RNA", at positions 228 to 620 of the family's 1533-position model. Lineage: Bacteria; Bacillati; Bacillota; Bacilli; Caryophanales; Bacillaceae. The record is from RNAcentral.